GACGAACGCUGGCGGCGUGCUUAACACAUGCAAGUCGAACGGUGAAGGGACCAGCUUGCUGGUUCUGGAUGAGUGGCGAACGGGUGAGUAACACGUGAGUAACCUGCCCCCUUCUUCUGGAUAACCGCAUGAAAGUGUGGCUAAUACGGGAUAUUCUGGGUCUGUCGCAUGGCGGGCCCGGGAAAGAUAUUGCUUCGGUGGGGGAUGGGCUCGCGGCCUAUCAGCUUGUUGGUGGGGUGAUGGCCUACCAAGGCGGUGACGGGUAGCCGGCCUGAGAGGGGGGACGGUCACACUGGGACUGAGACACGGCCCAGACUCCUACGGGAGGCAGCAGUGGGGAAUAUUGCACAAUGGGCGCAAGCCUGAUGCAGCGACGCCGCGUGAGGGAUGGAGGCCUUCGGGUUGUAAACCUCUUUCGCCAGUGAAGCAGGCCUGCUCCUUGUGGGUGGGUUGACGGUAGCUGGAGAAGAAGCGCCGGCUAACUACGUG
This 489-nucleotide ribosomal RNA is filed under the name uncultured bacterium. Its description in RNAcentral is "partial 16S ribosomal RNA". It matches the Rfam family "Bacterial small subunit ribosomal RNA", at positions 28 to 507 of the family's 1533-position model. The record is from RNAcentral.